GAGGCUUUAGUUUAAUUAAAAUAUCUGGGUUGCAUUCAGAUGAUGUAAGAAGAGUCUUAUAAGUCUUA
Molecule: transfer RNA, 68 nt
Filed under: Laudakia stellio stellio
Lineage: Eukaryota; Metazoa; Chordata; Lepidosauria; Squamata; Agamidae
Also listed under: 1 other name
Description: Stellagama stellio stellio tRNA-Ala
Source: RNAcentral